GGCACACCCUGCGGAAAAUAUGCUCUACAUUGGUGGUGACUCCUUCUCUGGCAUAAUUGUGCCAAUGAUUGUGUAACAAAUAUUGGAUGGUAAUGAAAAUGGAACUUUGCCUCUAAUGAAUCUCAAGGGAUAUGUAAUUGGGAACCCAGUGACAGAUUCAUUCAUUGAUGC
Long non-coding RNA from Rosa rugosa (rugosa rose), 171 nucleotides. RefSeq lists it as uncharacterized. The transcript is spliced from 3 exons. The record is from RefSeq and is a predicted model, not a curated record. NCBI's taxonomy places the organism in Eukaryota, Viridiplantae, Streptophyta, Magnoliopsida, Rosales, Rosaceae.